GGAAAGAGCGGCGGGNNNNNCCCGCCGAAAGGGCCUGAGGCGGGGGGCGACCGGGUCCCAAGGCCCUGGGGAAGGACCCCCCAGCCGCACGCCGGCUCCAAGUGCAAAGCAUUGACAUGGCCCCGUGAGGAGAGGGGGCGCCCUCCUUCUCCCUCGCCCGGCGGCUCAGCCGCUCUGGCCCGCGCCCCAGCUUGGCCUCCGACCCCGCUCUCGGCGGAGGCGCCGCCCGGGGCCCCUGCACUCCGGAGGGAACUGGAAAGAGAGGCCGGUGGGCGGGCGAGUCGGGAGGCAAGGGCGGCCGAGGUCCUGGAGAGGAACCCAGGUGGCGGGAGCCGGUGAGUGGAGCGGUGGUAGAGCCCUUCGGUGGGGCCGGCAUGGGAGGGAGUGGGAUGCGGCCUUGUACUCGGGAAACGCGGGGACCCCCCAGUCCGCGCCUCCCCCUCACAGGAAGACUCAGGAGGAACUUGGAAUUCUGGGCAAGCCCUGAACUCAGCCCAGUAUCCUGCCUCCUGCAUCCAGCCCUGAGACAUCCGACGGCCGGGAGAGCCGGGUCCUCGGGGCUAGGAAGGUGAGCGCAUAGUUCGCCGAGCUGGACGGCUGGUCCCGGUCCCCAGAUUCUUGACCCGCGCAACGAAUUUUCGCCGUAUCCGGUACCGGAGACACAAGUCUCCCUCAUCCUAAACAGCGGCAUCCUUUCUCCGCUCUCGGCCACAUUCCUAGAGUUUGUUUCCGGCUCUCCGAAGCGCUAGUCUCCCAAGUUCAGUACUGCAGAGAAACGAGUACGGGGGUCGGAAUGUUUGCACUCACCUGUGGUUGAAUCCAUCCCCACCCCGACUAUCGGCAGUCUUCGUUCUUCACCGGCCCCAGUAUCCCACCCCCUCUGCCACAUGGGUGUGUGUGUGUGUGUGUGUGUGUGUGUGUGUGUGUGUGUUGUGCGCUCUGUAUGGUGGUGCCCACUGUGCGCGGCGCGAGCGGCAACUUAAGGAGUGUGCCCAGAGAGUGAAGCCGUCACACACCUGCCGUGAAUCGGGCUGGGGCGCUGACACUCAGACUGAUUCCUGGUGGUCGCGUUCGAAGGAUAAGAAGGACCACGUACUGCACAUAUGUGACACUCCUGCCCGCACAACCAAUACAAGUGAGGGUGAGUUCAGCCGGCGUGGGCCCUGUGCCCGCGUGGUAGGUGUGUACAGCCCACAUCCAACAGUGAUCCAGGCAACACUGGCCGUCCACUACGCACACCAAGUCGCAGGGCACCUUUUCGCUGCACACGUGGACCUGGCAUGUAAAGCCUGCUAAGUCGAAGGAGUGCGGGUUCAGGACCGGCCGGAGUGGUUUGGCCUCCGCGACCUUUUUUCUACUUUUCCAGGCCAGUCCCGGAGCCCUCAAAGCUCCUUUACCCAGCUCGCAAAUGAGCGCCGCCCCCACAGGGUUUUCCUUCAAAACCCUGCUCUUCUUGUAGUGCCUCCUCUCUGUCCCGAACGAAUCUUUGACUCCGCUUUGCGCAGUCUGCGAAGAUGUGGCAGGAUCCGUUGCAGCUUUGCAUAGGCAAAGUCCUGCCGGCUCCAUUUAGGCGGGAUAUGGCCCCUCAGGGAGGGACAUGUGUGGGCAGGUUUGCGCAGUCAGUGAGGUGACCAGAUAAAAGGGCAGCGUUCCUUAGCCGGGAAUCCGGGUGCGGGCCUGGGAAUACGUGAAUACAUUUGCAAACUCGUGCGUGUACACAUACUUUCCUACUCGUAAGAAUGUGUGUACAACUAAUUGUAUGCAAUUCGGACAUUUUCCCGGGAAAGAUCUGUAGCUGGUCCAGAGUUCCAAGGCCCGGAGAGUUCGAGAAACACGCUGGCCUGGGUUGUUUGCCGAAGAAACCCGGCGACGGUGCAGCGGCUGCANNNNNNNNNNNNNNNNNNNNNNNNNNNNNNNNNNNNNNNNNNNNNNNNNNNNNNNNNNNNNNNNNNNNNNNNNNNNNNNNNCCCCCCCCCCCCCCCCCCCCCCCCCAGCCAUACUCUCCAGCGAGGGAUAUCCUUGCCUCCUCGAAAACCCAGGCAGGGGAGGCCCAAGAGGCCUGGGAGCGGCGCCUAGAGGUUCCCAGCUCCUGCUCGGCCCCUCCCCCACCUGGGUCUACCCCACUUCCCCUUCCCGGGAACAGGCGCCUCUUGGGGGGGUGGUCCCCGGGGCUGAGAGUUCGUGUCUCUUUAAGAGGCCCCGGGGGGCGCCUCGCAAGCCGCCCGGGGCUGGAGAGGGGAGGGCACGGGCGGGGGCGGCUGGCGCCAGGCGGCCGAGGCUCCACAACAAAGCUCCGGCCCCUGUCACUUCGCAUCGGUCGGGCCCCGCAGACGGGCGGGGGACGCGCGCUCAGCCGCCCCUCCCUCUCCCAGGCAGUCCUGGGCUCGGGCGUCGGACGGGCGCGGGCCUCCCCGCCUCUGGCGGGUGGUUGCGCGCCCUCAGUACGCUCCACGCUUCCUGCAACCAGGAAAUCGGGCUGGGAAGGCCUGGGAGGUGUGGUUCCUUGGUCCUGAGCCUCGCUGGGCUGCCCGUCUGUCCUUGGCCCCGUAACAUUUCGCGUGGUUAAGGGCCACUGAUGGGACCUGCCCCGGAUUGGGCCUCGCUGGUGUCUUUGGUCUGUGUGACCGGGCGUGGAUUCGCGUGCGCCCGCGUGGAUGGCUUAGUGGUCGAGUGGGGACCUGCGUCGUGCGACGUAGCUGGGGGCUGUCAUGAGAAGAGUACUAAGGAAAUGAGUGUGCCCGGGCUAAGCUCAGGUGAUGUGUGUGGCCUAUGCGUGUGACCAGCAGUGGAGGUGCCACUGGGCGCCUGUCCCCGUCUUGGCGUGUAGCGUGUGUAUGUGUGUGUGGUGGUGGGGCGCGGGGAGACACAGAGUUGCUUCCCAUUCCCGCUUCCCGGACCGACCCGCGCCUCCCGGAGUCUUGGCGCCAGCCAGCCCGGUUUAGCGGCCGGGCCCGGCUCCCCCGCGGUCCCGGGUCUGGCUGGGGUGGGGGCCGCGGCCUCGAUGACCCUGGCCCACAGCGGCCGGGCCUGUCCCGUCCACUUAGACAAAUUGCUGCUGACAGGCGCACAGUCUCUCUGGAGUCGCCGCCCGCCCGACGCCUCCCUCCCGACCCAAUUACCCCGCGCAGGGUCGGGCCAAGUGGCUGGGAUGGUUUGGGGGGCGUGGGGAGAGCGGGAGGCGCGACCUUUUCCAGGCCCGCGUUAUGGCCCCAGCCUUGCGCCAGGAAAGGCGCGGGGCCACUUUUUUCCGGGUAGGUUCCGGGAAGUGCCUGAGCAGCCACGGCCUGUGUGGCCCAGUCCCCAGUCUUUCAGGCUAAUGCGAAGCCGAGGUCCCGCCUGGCCGCUCUGGUCCAGGACAGACCUGUCUUUGAAGGGUGUCGUUCUACACCCGAGGGCGAGGGCGAGGGGGAGGUCAGUGGGCCGGCAACCCAGGGUGCGUCCCCUCUGAACUUUGGACGACUUCCCCAGAGUUUUGGGCACCCCGUAACCCUAAGGGGCUCCAGACUAUUAGCUGCUCUGGAGUCUUGGUCGCCGCUGUCCGCUUCGGAGCGGCGGGUCGGCAAAAGUGAGGUGUACCUCUGUGAACCUGAGUGUGCGUGGACGCACACAAUUGUGAAAUGGUGGGUGUGGGUGCUUGGGAUCACGGCAGCGCGAACAGGCCACGCUCCGGUGGCACUUGAGAGAGGGGGCAAAUCGCAGGAAGGACCCCGAGGACCAGCCCACCUGCGAGAGAAGGGCGGGGCUGGUCUGCCAGCGCUCACCAGGAUCUGGAUUUGCUUUCAAGAAACUUUCCCAGGGAGCCGGGCGGCGGCGAAGCGUCCGGGGGGCUGCGCACUACAAUCAGGGCUCCAGCUGUGCCGCACCGGCCCUCCCUCUCCCGAGGUAGAGCUACCUGGCCUGUCUGGGCAGUCUCUGGGCCUCAAACCAACCUUUUGCCUUUUUUGACCUGCAACUUCCCUUUUGCUUGCUUCAGCCCAGCUCUUCCUCUUGGCAGGGCUUGCACCUCUCCCCAUUUUACAAAUGAGGACCCUGAAGCCCAGAGGUGCAGUAAUUUACCCAAAGCCACAUGGCUACCAGUGGCAGAGCUGGGAUGGGACCUUGGGACCUUGAGAGCAAGGCUCCAUCCACUCCUUAGAAGCUGGUGAUGUCAUUGCUGUCCUGAUAGCUACCCCUACUUCUACAGCAAGACAAUACUGAGACUUUGGAGACCCACACUCAGGCUGGGCUCUUGCUUUGAAUACAAGAUAUACCAGAUGCUUUCUCCAGUUGCCGCUAGAGUUUCCAGCUCUAGGUCUGUAGGAAGGGGCUGCCUUUCCAAGUUACACAGGGACAGGGAGCAGCUUCAAAGUCAGGGGCUGGGUCUGAAAGCUCUCAGGAGUACGGGAUGGGGGUGAGUGGGAUCAGAGUCUUGGAUUGUGCGGGGGUGCAGGCCAGUGCAGAAUCUGGCCCUGUAAGGGAACCAGCCAGGGCAUGUGAGGCAGUAAGGAGCAGAGGUCAGACUAGCUGUGUGACUUUGUAACCGUGGGCAAGGCCAGGGCCUUCUCUGGGGCUCAGGCUUCUCAUCUGCAAAAUGAGGACCAAACAGUGCUCUCUUAAGUACUUUCUAGUUUAGAAAUUCUCUGAUCUGUGAACAGCAGAAAAAUGAGCACCUGAGAAACCAUUUCCAAUCCCAGACUGGCAGCUGCCUGCUCUGGCCUCUGCUUGCUUCCAGAGCUGAUACUGUUUGGCAGAGUGCUUGUGUGCCUGAAUUUGCCUUGGGACCACUGGGCCUUUUCUCAGAUCAAUCCCAGACAGUGCCCUCCCUCCUUGAGCUGCCACCCCAACUCCCAUCAGCCUCCUCACAGACCAUGAAGAUAUUUUUUCCCGCAUCAAACUGAGAGAAAGUCCAUGGUAAUUUGCCCGUUGAGCAGGUAGCACUGUGAGAAUCAGGGAGAUCACAUGGCUUCCUCAAGGUCACUCGGUCAGGCCACAAUUAGAUGCCUGUUCUAAUGGCCUCCUAGGUAAGUAAUGCCAUCAUGGAGGUCUGCUGGGCUUCUGGGGGGUGAGGUGGGAGAUUGCCCUUGGUGUUAUCUCUAGAGGAUAGGAGGCUGGCUGCUCCAGGGCCAGUGGGCAGUGAGGUCCCCCACCCGGGGGCCCAGAUCUCACUUCCAGCUGAUUACAGGCUGUGGCAGGGUCCAUAACCUCCCCAAUUAGCCAGGGGCCAGGCCCAAGGCCUCUCUGAUAACCUGAGCUCUGUGGCAGCCGCCAUGGGGCCAGCUUAUCUGGCCUCUCUUAUCCUUCCCCUUCCCCCACAUACUCAAAGAGUUGCCCUGGCUGUGAGCAGAUGAAUAACCAGAUUGUCCUGCAAGCUCAGCCGGCAAGUCCAGCCCUACACCCACCACUUUCCCUGACUAGAGGAGGCCACAGAUGUUUUGCACCCCCUGGAGGGAAAGGGCUGAGCCAGGGAGGACUCCUGACUCUAAGCUGCCAGCCUGUUCCCUGAAUGGUUGGAGAGAGCUCCCUAUAUUUGCCCCAUCCAUAAACCCACGUGGAUUCAGAGGGGCUCACCUUUCCUAGAGCUCUGGACCCAUCCCCAGGGAGCCAAGCAAUAGAUAGUAUGCACUGGCAGCCUGGUGGCACCUCUUUCGCCGUCCCUUUUUGACUGAAACACUGCUCUGGCUGGGGGUUGGGGAUGUGCCAGACACAUCAGUGUCUCUGAUUCAGCUGAAAUGGUGAAAAGCUGCUGCUAGUCUGACAGCCCCCACUGGCUGUGCCCAGACCUCCUUAUGUUCCCAGCCAUGCCUCUCUAGGGCAUGUGAUUCCUCACCUUGCAGGUCCCCAGACAGGAGGGACUGGCUUAAGCCACCCAUCUACUCAGCCUACAGAGCCUAGUUUGAUUCAGGUCCCGCUUCUCCCAAGAUGCCCAGCUGACCCGGUGGAGGGAACUGAGGAUGAAGUCUCUUUUCAGUUGUGAGGACUGGAUGGGAUGCAUGUGAAAGGAGCAGAGGCUCUAGAUGCUGCUCCAGUUCUGGCUGGAUGGUUGCAUGGGGAUCCCUGCUUGUUUGUGAAUUCAACUCAUCUGCAACCAUUACAUUAAACUUUACCCCAAACC
This 6091-nucleotide long non-coding RNA is filed under the name Lynx pardinus (Iberian lynx). Lineage: Eukaryota; Metazoa; Chordata; Mammalia; Carnivora; Felidae. The record is from RNAcentral.